CUUGUACUCCCUCCGUCCGAAAAUACUUGUCAUUGAAAUGGAUGUAUCUAGAUGUAUUUUAGUUCUAGACACAUCCAUUUUGAUGACAAGUAAUUCCGGACGGAGGGAGUACUUG
This is a non-coding RNA of Triticum aestivum (bread wheat), 115 nucleotides long. Lineage: Eukaryota; Viridiplantae; Streptophyta; Magnoliopsida; Poales; Poaceae. The record is from Rfam.